GACGAACGCUGGCGGCGUGCUUAACACAUGCAAGUCGAACGGAAAGGCCCUGCUUUUGUGGGGUGCUCGAGUGGCGAACGGGUGAGUAACACGUGAGUAACCUGCCCUUGACUUUGGGAUAACUUCAGGAAACUGGGGCUAAUACCGGAUAGGAGCUCCUGCUGCAUGGUGGGGGUUGGAAAGUUUCGGCGGUUGGGGAUGUACUCGCGGCUUAUCAGCUUGUUGGUGGGGUAGUGGCUUACCAAGGCUUGGACGGGUAGCCGGCCUGAGAGGGUGACCGGCCCCAUUGGGACUGAGAUACGGCCCAGCCUCCUACGGGAGGCAGCAGUGGGGAAUAUUGCACAGUGGGCGGAAGCCUGAUGCAGCAACGCCGCGUGCGGGAUGACGGCCUUCGGGUUGUAAACCGCUUUCGCCUGUGACGAAGCGUGAGUGACGGUAAUGGGUAAAGAAGCACCGGCUAACUACGUG
This 468-nucleotide ribosomal RNA is filed under the name uncultured bacterium. RNAcentral describes it as "partial 16S ribosomal RNA". It matches the Rfam family "Bacterial small subunit ribosomal RNA", at positions 28 to 507 of the family's 1533-position model. The record is from RNAcentral.